Molecule: ribosomal RNA, 442 nt
Filed under: uncultured bacterium
Lineage: Bacteria
Description: SSU rRNA
Rfam family: Bacterial small subunit ribosomal RNA
Source: RNAcentral
AGAACGAACGCUGGCGGCACGCCUAACACAUGCAAGUCGAGCGCCCAGCAAUGGGAGCGGCGGACGGGUGAGUAACACGUGGGAAUAUGCCUUUCGGUACGGAACAACUCAGGGAAACUUGAGCUAAUGCCGUAUACGCCCUUACGGGGAAAGAUUUAUCGCCGAAAGAUUAGCCCGCGUCUGAUUAGCUAGUUGGUGAGGUAAUGGCUCACCAAGGCUUCGAUCAGUAGCUGGUUUGAGAGAACGACCAGCCACACUGGGACUGAGACACGGCCCAGACUCCUACGGGAGGCAGCAGUGGGGAAUCUUGGACAAUGGGGGAACCCUGAUCCAGCGAUGCCGCGUGAGUGAUGAAGGCCUUCGGGUUGUAAAACUCUUUCGACGGGACGAUAAUGACGGUACCCGUAGAAGAAGCUCCGGCUAACUUCGUGCCAGCAGCCGC